Molecule: ribosomal RNA, 484 nt
Filed under: uncultured bacterium
Lineage: Bacteria
Description: partial 16S ribosomal RNA
Rfam family: Bacterial small subunit ribosomal RNA
Source: RNAcentral
AUUGAACGCUGGCGGCAGGCCUAACACAUGCAAGUCGAGCGGAUGAAGGGAGCUUGCUCCUGGAUUCAGCGGCGGACGGGUGAGUAAUGCCUAGGAAUCUGCCUGGUAGUGGGGGACAACGUCCGGAAACGGGCGCUAAUCCCGCAUACGUCCUGAGGGAGAAAGUGGGGGAUCUUCGGACCUCACGCUUUAUGAUGAGCCUAGGUCGGAUUAGCUAGUUGGUGGGGUAAAGGCCUACCAAGGCGACGAUCCGUAACUGGUCUGAGAGGAUGAUCAGUCACCCUGGAACUGAGACACGGUCCAGACUCCUACGGGAGGCGGCAGUGGGGAAUAUUGGACAAUGGGCGAAAGCCUGAUCCAGCCAUGCCGCGUGUGUGAAGAAGGUCUUCGGAUUGUAAAGCACUUUAAGUUGGGAGGAAGGGCAGUAAGUUAAUACCUUGCUGUUUUGACGUUACCAACAGAAUAAGCACCGGCUAACUUCGUG